RNAcentral lists this long non-coding RNA (449 nucleotides) under Linum usitatissimum (flax). RNAcentral describes it as "long non-coding RNA (LUSI_LNC004716)". The record is from RNAcentral. Lineage: Eukaryota; Viridiplantae; Streptophyta; Magnoliopsida; Malpighiales; Linaceae.
UUUAAUCAUUGUCUGAGGAGGAAAUGUUACUUUCCUGUUUUGCACUUGGUCCCGUGAGUGACAGCCGAAAGUGGCGAGAACCAGAAGAGAUUCCAUUUCCGCCGUGGUGCGUGAGCGUCUGUGACUCAGACUGAAACAUCUCUCUCUCUCUCUCUCUCUUUUGUUUCUUUGUUUGCUUUCUCUCUAAUUUUUUUUAAUUACUCCUUUCAGCAGAUUCUUUUCCUCCCUUUGUCCUGUGCAGUUUUUGGCCGGAGUUCAAGUUUCACGGCCGUUUGGUCGCUGCGAAAAUGCCGGGAAAACGAGUUAUUAUAGCAUUGUAAUCGCCGUUGCAUGUUUCAUCAGAUUUGUUUAUCAUUUGGUAUGCUUCCUUUUUUCCCGCUUCUCUCUUCCUUUAUAUUUUGUCGUUUUGGCCGUUAAUUCUCCCAAACGAAACCGCCAUUGAUUGGCUG